This 253-nucleotide ribosomal RNA is filed under the name uncultured bacterium. Its description in RNAcentral is "partial 16S ribosomal RNA". It matches the Rfam family "Bacterial small subunit ribosomal RNA", at positions 524 to 776 of the family's 1533-position model. The record is from RNAcentral.
UACGUAGGGGGCAAGCGUUGUCCGGAUUUACUGGGUGUAAAGGGUGCGCAGGCGGAUCUGUGAGUCAGAGGUGAAAUCUCACAGCUUAACUGUGAAACUGCCUUUGAUACUGCAGAUCUUGAGUUCGGGAGAGGUUGAUGGAAUUCCAGGUGUAGCGGUGAAAUGCGUAGAUAUCUGGAAGAACACCAGUGGCGAAGGCGGUCAACUGGCCCGUAACUGACGCUCAGGCACGAAAGCGUGGGUAGCAAACAGG